RNAcentral lists this ribosomal RNA (253 nucleotides) under uncultured bacterium. Its description in RNAcentral is "partial 16S ribosomal RNA". It matches the Rfam family "Bacterial small subunit ribosomal RNA", at positions 524 to 776 of the family's 1533-position model. The record is from RNAcentral.
GACGAACCGUGCGAACGUUGUUCGGAAUCACUGGGCUUAAAGGGCGCGUAGGCGGCCGGGUUGGUCGUGGGUGAAAUCCCCCAGCUUAACUGGGGAACUGCCUACGAUACUGCCUGGCUCGAGGGAGGAAGGGGCGGUCGGAACUGUCGGUGGAGCGGUGAAAUGCGUUGAUAUCGACAGGAACGCCGGUGGCGAAGGCGGGUCUCUGGGCCGAUACUGACGCUGAGGAGCGAAAGCGUGGGGAGCAAACAGG